GAUGAACGCUGGCGGCGUGCCUAAUACAUGCAAGUCGAGCGAACAGAUCAGGCGCUUGCUCCUUUGACGUUAGCCGCGGACGGGUGAGUAACACGUGGGUAACCUACCUAUAAGACUGGAAUAACUACGGGAAACCGGGGCUUAUGCCGGAUAACAUUUAGAACCGCAUGGUUCUAAAGUGAAAGAUGGCUUUGCUAUCACUUAUAGAUGGACCUGAGCCGUAUUAGCUAGUUGGUAAGGUAACGGCUUAUCAAGGCAACGAGACGUAGCCGAGGUGAGAGGGUGAUCGGCGACACUGGAGCUGAGACAGGGUCCAGACGCCUACGGGAGGCAGCAGAAGGGAAUGGUCCGCAGUGGGCGAAAGCCUUACAGAGCAACGCCGCGUGAGUUGUGAAGGUCUUCGGAGCGUAAAACUCUGUUAUGAGGGAAGAACAAAUUUGUAAGGAACUGUGGACGGCUUGACGGUACCUAAUCAGAAAGCCACGGCUAACUACGUG
RNAcentral lists this ribosomal RNA (497 nucleotides) under uncultured bacterium. RNAcentral's name for it is "partial 16S ribosomal RNA". It matches the Rfam family "Bacterial small subunit ribosomal RNA", at positions 28 to 507 of the family's 1533-position model. The record is from RNAcentral.